GUGUUCUCAGCUCCUGCAGCUCUUACCGUACCAAUUGCUGCCAACCUUCUGGGAUUCCUGGGUCCUGGAAACCCGGCAGCAACACUGUGUCUCAAGCCUACAGUGGGCACGCUGGCAAGGACUGCAGGCAUGGUCAUGACUGUUUUGAAUAAUUACAUGCGAGGAAUGUUUUUAACCAAAGGCCCCAAAGCAUCCGAAGCCUGGCUUCAAGGUGGAGGAGUAAGGAGGAUGAGUCUGGGACGUGGGGUGGUUCGUGGCGCAGACCUCUAUUGUGGAAGUGUCAUGAUCGCAUUC
This 294-nucleotide long non-coding RNA is filed under the name Pan troglodytes (chimpanzee). Its description in RNAcentral is "long non-coding RNA NONPTRT014882". The record is from RNAcentral. Lineage: Eukaryota; Metazoa; Chordata; Mammalia; Primates; Hominidae.